RNAcentral lists this ribosomal RNA (966 nucleotides) under Syncephalis depressa. RNAcentral's name for it is "eukaryotic LSU rRNA". It matches the Rfam family "Eukaryotic large subunit ribosomal RNA", at positions 1 to 741 of the family's 3401-position model. The record is from RNAcentral. Lineage: Eukaryota; Fungi; Zoopagomycota; Zoopagomycetes; Zoopagales; Piptocephalidaceae.
UCUUGAUCUCAGAUCAGGCAGGAUGACCCGCUGAACUUAAGCAUAUCAGUAAGCGGAGGAAAAGAAACUAACCAGGAUUCCCUUAGUAACGGCGAGUGAAGCGGGAAUAGCCCAAUCUGAAAAGCUAGUCAGCCCUGGCGCUGGUCUCGCAUUGUAGGUUGAUGGAACGUUACCUAGUGUUAAACCUUUCAGCUAAAGUCUCUUGGAACAGAGCAUCAAAGAGGGUGAUAAUCCCGUGAUUAGCUGAAUGACAUACCAGUUUGAUACGUCUAUGGUGCGUUUCCUUAGAGUCGGAAUGUUUGGGAUUGCAUUCCAAAGCGGGUGGUAAACUCCAUCUAAGGCUAAAUACUGGCGAGAGACCGAUAGCGAACAAGUACCGUGAGGGAAAGUUGAAAAGCACUCUGGAGAGAGAGUCAAACAGUACGUGAAAUUGCUAGCAGGGAAACGUUGGGCACCAGUACACGGCAAUCAAUGCUAAUGAUCAGUCGGUGUAUUAGUGGGUUGUAGCGUGGUGUUCCACUUUAGAGAUUGUCCUAGGAUGACUCACGCGUUACAAACAGCUGAUGCACCGGUGCACUCUUUGGCAGCCGGGUCAACAUCGGUUAAUGGCGCUCGACAAGUUAUUAGACAAGGUAUCAUUAGCAAGUUCGCUUGCUUUUGAACUUAUAGGUCUGGUGUACGAGGGUGCUAUUGACCGAGGAUAGUCGAUUCGCGCGUUUCGGCGCAGGGCGUAUUGGCUGGGUCAAGGCUGCCCGUGGUGCUAAUCAGCAUGCUGAUUAGUAUUCAUUUUGCUAUACUUGUAUAGCAGUGGCGGUCGUCCAGCCAGUGCAAGCCACUAGCGAGUCAAUGACGGUUGACGAAAUGGUAUUCAACGACCCGUCUUGAAACACGGACCAAGGAGUCUAACAUGUCUGCGAGUGUUUGGAUGGAAAAUCCUUACGCGGAAUGAAAGUAAAGAGGCAAGUU